RNAcentral lists this long non-coding RNA (1948 nucleotides) under Citrus maxima (pomelo). Its description in RNAcentral is "long non-coding RNA (CMAX_LNC003665)". Lineage: Eukaryota; Viridiplantae; Streptophyta; Magnoliopsida; Sapindales; Rutaceae. The record is from RNAcentral.
GCGGUCAAACGUUAGAUCUGACUUCUUCGAACGAACUAAAAGCCAACAAUGAAAAUUUCACAUAAAAGCAACCAGUAUACCUGCAAAAUAGUUAAAUUAAAAGUUUUCUGACUCGUUCAGCGGAGAUGCCAACAGUUUCCAAAAUUUUUUGUUGGACCUCGCAUUUAUAAAUUCUCAAAACUUCCUCCACCAAUCUGAAAACAUCACAGAAAACGAGCAACACCACAAUUAACUGUCUUUAAGUUGUAAAAAAGCUUCAAGCUUUGCACAUGUGAGGAUAUAGUGAGAAACCAAUCAUAGAACAUGUCACGAGCAAGGGCACAAGCAGAGGAAAGAUCUUGAAUGCCUCAGUGUGAUGAUAAUCAUCAUGAAACAAUAUCAACAGAUGUGAUUUAGGGAUACAUCUCAUAUAACAACCUUCAAAUGAUAUUAAUAUACAGCGAUAGAUCGAUAUAAAAUAAAUAACUUCAUAAAGAAAGGGUUUACAAUAGGGGGAAUGAAAAGAAUAUUGAGGUUAAAGGCUGAGCUCUGGUUACCGUUCUUUCAUUUGUAUGUAAAGCCUCUCAAAUUCUUUAGUCACAUCGUAAUAGAUUCUCCUAUAUGCAUAAUGAAUAAUGAUGUCAAAAGAAACCCCUGAACUUAGAAUUACUUCCACCUCUUUAUCUUCUUAGUUAUAAUAAGGCAUGAGUGAGCUUUUGGUAUAUUUAAUGAGAUAUAGAAAGGUAUUUACCCCCCUGUUAUCUCGCAACUCCAAAACCUGGUAAGUCUCUGGCCAAACCUGAAUUUAGAUGAAUGGACUUCAAACGAAAGGAUUUUCUUACAAAAGCUAAAAAAAUAUAACGGCAUGGUGAGAAUGGGAAAAUGAAAAUAGAAAGCAAAAGAAAAAGUUUCCAUCCGAUAAGACAAGUACAAAAUAAUCCAAGUUCUUAUUUGCCAUGCCAAUAUUAUUCAUGAAGAACUAAUCUGAUUUCUUUUCCAGAUAAGGUUAGUAACAAUUAAUCUGCAAAAUAACUGAACCAACUUGGUUAUUUUGACAUUACUCUUUCUCUUCUACGCUCAUUUUCUGCAUGGUUGCGGUUCAUCAACGGCCACGUUCACCAAAACGAGUCCACUCUCCCCACUUCACUUAUUUCCCCACCGUUAUGUCUCUCAAAGUGCAGCAGCAAGACAUGAACUCCUAUCAUUAUGAGCAAUAUAAAAAGCCCUCCUAAAAAUCCACCACCUGUUUGGCCAGAGAAACUCCAUUACUCAUUUCCACUCUCUCAAUUUUCAGCCCUUUCAUCAAAACACAAGCAUUACUUACCCAUGUUUAGACAUUAUUUAUUUUUCUGAUAUCACAUCAUUCGCCGGGGCGGGGGGGGACAAUUAACUGAUUUCAGCACAUAAAUUACAACAAGCUGGUCAAUUCACGUAAAUAAGGAAAAUUAACUCAAUCAAGUGAAGUAGGCACAAAAUGACCUCAAUGAGAUAUCAGAGACCUCUAAAAUCAAAUCAAAUUCAGUUAAACAAAGAAUCACUCAUGAAAGAUAAGCAAAAGAAAAAAAGCAAUGAAUAACAGAAAGAAAUUUCUUAUAAAAAUUCAAUAAAAUUAAAAAAAUUAGCUAAUCAUCUUUUCUGGUUAAGUGAUUUCGUCAGCAAAUAAGAGAAAAUAGAAAUUCUGGAAUAUACCUAGGGUUUCUAGCUUUGGGAAUUUACCUAAUGAGAAAUCAGUCUCUCUGUUUCUAGAUUUGUAACUAUCAUGGCCGAGCGACCACGAUCAGCUGAGAUAAUUGGAUUUUGCACCGGCGACGAUGCAAAUGUUUGGGGUUGGGUUUGGGUUUGGGUUUGACGAUAGACGAAGGAAUGUUAGGGCUUUGGGUGAUUUAAGGAUUUUAUUUAAUUCAAGUAAAGUGAAAAUAACUAAAGUAUCCCUAAGUUGGUUACGCAUUUUGAUGUCCAGAAUAGUUAA